UUAUUUUCUUAUUUAUUUAUUUAUUUUUAAGACGUAUUAACAACUCCGUGAUGACGGGUGGGAAAAAAAAAAAAAAAAAGAGGAGACGCGAGGUUUUCUGGGGUGUGUGUGUAUGUGUGUGUGUGUGUAUCGGGUGUGACACCCACGCCGCGCUCCUCCUUCAAAUCGCUCCGAGGGAGGUGAGCGGGGAGGUCUACUGGACCCCUCCACACCCUCUACCCUCCUCGGGGACCCACACAGCCCUGGGCUGCGGGAGGGGAGGGCGGGUGGAUGGAUGGGGAGCCACCCCCGCAUCCCCCCGCUCCGGUUUUUGCAGGAGCCGCCCCGAGUGGGUCUCAUCCUUCCUAUCCCAGGGGAGAGCGCGGGGGACCCCCCCCAAGGAAGGGGGGGGGCGGUCACGGCGGCAGUCCCCGGUGCGGGGUUCGCGGCCGCCGCGCCCGCCUCCGCCCCCGGCACGGCGCUGGGGGGGGGCUCUGGCGCGCGGGGGGAGGCCGGAGCCUGGAAAGGUGAGAGCUCGGAUUGCCGGAGUGCCGAAAGGAAGCUGCCAUUUGCGAGCUGUGAAAGACGGGCGUUAAAACAGUCUGCUAUAAAUAUAGUUUAUCUGGAGAAGAAGCUGACACCUGAAGUGGAGAGACCCAUGUGACAGUGUACUCUGCAGUACACACACACACCACCACCAGCUUAAGUAGAGAAUCAGAUCUGAGAAGAUAACCAUCAAUGGCAAUCAUGAUGGUUGUGCCUGGUCACCAUGGCUGUAUCCUGAAUUUGGGGGAGACAGAAGACAAAUAGCCAAGGUCUAAUCUGAGCAAUGCAUAUCUCCCACACCCUAACCACACUGCUGUUCAAAUUUGGAAGAAAGUCCAUAUCAAGCCAAAUUUGGAAGAAAAUAAUAUCUGUGUGCAAAUGUGGCCAUAAGUCAAUCAUCUUACACCAUAAAUAGUGAGCAGCUCGAGAGCCCUCUGAGCUUUCUGGAAAUGACAGUGAGCUGCAAGCCAGGAUCUCCCCUUGGGCAGGGAUUCUUCCCAGGGUUACUUCUGCAGACUGAGAGGGCCCUUAUCACUACAGAUAGUUGGUGAAAAAGGAUAGAUACUGUUCAGUGGACUUGGAAUUGUCUUUAGAGUUCAGUUAGAACGCACCCAGAACAUCCCACAUGGACCCCUUCACAACAACCACUGUGAUGUGAUGGGCAUACCAUUCCAGGUACUAGGGUCUUCAAUCUGUCUAGCAUCUAGCCAGUAUCAAGGGGUUAGGAGCUACUGUGAUGCAUGAGAUGAGUCAUCUGCUGCUGAGAUCUUGGAAGCAAGACUAAUCAUUAACACACAUAUUGUUGGCAGUCUAAACUGUUCCCAUAUCACGACCCAGAGUUAUAGGAGAUGGGAACUCUCACCUUGCCUAGCAGAAACAUCACUACUCUGCAUUCUCACCACGGCAUUGCUCACACAGUGGAAGAAAUUGUACUUGCUUGGCAGAACAAAAUUUUUAGUUAGGCCGGCAAGAAAUUUCAGUGUCUCAGAGAACUCAGAGAAAUUCUUUUUCAGAGACUUUUAUUAUUUUUUAUUUUUAUUUAUUUAUUUAUUUAUUAGACAUGGGGACAUUUCCUUUUGUGAACAGGUCUUCCUCCUAUUCCAUGAUUUUGGCCAACAAGGUUCACAAAGAGAAUGUGCUGCAAAGAGCUAUAGGUGGACAAGUACUAAAUUCUGCAUAUUCCCACUGCAAAGGCUGUUAACCCUAGUAGAAAUUAGGCAGAUGCCUGCCUGAUAUUAUUAUUAGAGUUUAUGUUUCACACAAAUGAUAAAUCAUUGCUAUAAAAGUUGGAAAUAAUUUCCACCGGUAACAUUGAGAAUACAUGAUGUAUUGCUCCUAUUACAUUUACAUCUCUUUCCAUCUCUUUUCCUUUGAUCUCUUUUCUUUUUCACAAUUUUUGUAGACCCUGUUUUGCUCUUCUUUCCAGAAUUAAAACUUCAUGAGUUAGUCCAGAGGAGGUCAUAUUAAACUCGCAUUAGGAAUACUGUGAAGAGACAUUUUCAAUCCAAGGAAGUAAACAAUUUCCAUCUUUGAAAUAAUAAGAAUGCAUAUCUGCCAACAUUACAUUCUGUCAAAUAUUUAAUAGAUUAAAAUAAUAAUAAUAAUAAUAAAAGAAACAGUUUGGUCCUAAAAAAAAAGUAUAUAUAUCUUUAAGACAUUACACAUUUUAUUUUAUUUUGUUCUAUUUUUUUUUCUAAUACAUUAUUUCUUAAUCAUUAAUGUAAUGUUGUUUUUGGAAGUUUCUAAUUACACUACUCUGAUAACCACAUGGGACCUUAAUUAAAGAUUGUAAUCCAUUGCAAAAUGUACAUGUGUAUAAUGAAAAGGCAAUUAAGAUAUGUUGUUAGAUAACUAGGUUUUAUUACUUAAACUAAACCAAAUAGAUACAGUUUCUUAAAAAAAAAGAAAAAAAAAAAAAGAAAAAAAAAAAAAAGGUCAGAAAGCAUGAUAUUUCUCUAUGUUGCAGUUCUCUGCUAUCCAGCAGUGAAAACAAUAAUUAUCAGUUCUUCAUGUUCUUAGAGUUGGCAGUGUUAUUAGUUUGCAUGAAGAAUAUAGCCAUGCAAAAGCACAGUAUCACUUUAGAGGAGAGGCUGCCAAAGUCUCUGGUGAGACUUGCCAAAAAAACAGUCACAGCAGGGUGUCUCUACGAGCUCUCUAUCCCUGUGCGUUUAGGUCUUGCUCUUAAGGAUAAUCACCUGCCACUGAAUGAAGCUAUUCACUGAGGCCAAGGGAGUGACUUAAAUACAGUCUCAAGCCUUUAAAAACUGCAAAGGUGCCAGUGCCCUCACAUUAUCGGGAGUCUCCUGAUACUUGGUUAACUUGGGCUCAGUGCCAUGUUAACACUACCACCCAGCCUUGGAACUGAAGUUGCUUUGUAGCUGGCCAGCUGGAAUUUGGGAUAGGUUGACACAUGAAUCUUUAUAUCUGCAUAUACAGCCUUGUUCUCAGUCUUCAAAUGUAUCUAAAAAUAAAAUAAAAUAAAAUAAAAUAAAAUAAAAAGGAAAAGAAAAAAUCUUCCUGAAAAUCUAUGUCCCGCUCUUUUUAUCAUCCUUCUUUUACAUUUUACAUGAGCCAAGGUUAAUUGAGCCUGGGAAAUGAAUAUGGUACGGUGAACUCAUAUAUAUGUCACUCAGCUGAGAGCAAGUAGCUAGUUUCCAUGAAAAAAAUCUUGCUCUGAUGUGAAAGAAUUCAGAUGAAAAGAGUGAGAUGCUGAUUUUGAGAGCCUACACACCUUGGAGGAAUAAGCACCAAAGGGAAUGAGUUUGAAAAGUGGUGAUAAAUUCCACUCCCUGUCUAGGCUGGCAGUUAAACCAUUCAUCCAGUAAGCACAUCUUCAAAUCUUGAGGCAAUUGAUGCUUCCUUCUCCCCUAUACAGCAGUGCCUCUCUGACCUCCUAAGAGAGGAGCAGGAUUCUGGUGACCGGAGUUACUGAUAAAUUUUUGCCUUUGCUCUUGAAAUUAAGUCAUUGUAUCCAGAAGAGUCAAGUGACUACAAAAAUUAAUAAUUUAUUUUUUUUUAAAAAAGUCUCCAACAGUCCUUUGAGUGGGAGAGAAAUGGAAUUCUAGCUCUAGCUCAGAAUAGAUAUGUAUUUUUUAUGCUAUUUGGUUACAAGGACAAAAGGACAAUGGAAUACGAAUAUUCCAAUGGUAGUAAAGACCUGGAAAAACAUGAGAAAAAAAAAAAAAAAAAAACAGAUUUUCAUCUUUCUUACUAAAUUCAGUAACAAUUCAGAGAGAGUCACUUACAAGUCUAAGUAAGUGACAAGAGUCACUUAGUCCUGAUUCACAUCAGUCUCCUCAGCAGGCAGGUGGAACAUGCCCUUUUUUGUGGCUGUCAUUAAGGCUGCUGACAGUGUUAGCCCAGGGCUGGGAAUGGGCCAGACUUCUCUGGAAAAGUAGAUAGCUCAUUGACUUACCAUCCUCUGAUUAAACCAGAAUCACAUCAGAAUUUAUCUGGGCAAUGGGCAUAUGUCUUUAGCAGCCAGCUCUAAACAAGCAUGGCUACUUCCAGAAAUAGCAAACUUUAAGCCAGAGAGGAAGGCUGUAUAGAGAGGCCUAAAUUUUAUACAUUUCGGUUUUGUGAGGAUUAGGCAGUGCUGAAAAGUGAUGACCUAGAUAAUGGUCUGGGCUGUGGGCAAGUUUGGACUUCUAAAUCCAAAUUAGACUGACCUUAAGUGAUCUCUAAAUUCUCUUAGCUUCAUAUUAGGCCUAAAUCUUAUGCUGCAUCUAGCCCGUAAGUUCUUUCUUGGAUCUAGUUUCCAAUGUCAGACUUUUUUGUUUCUUUGAGUUUUGAAGAUUUUUUUUUUUCAAAGAAAGAGUUUCUGUAUGGAAAACAUCUCUGAUGAUUUAUAUAUUUCUGUAGUAAUCCCCUAAUUCAUUAGAAGCAGCAUCUCUAUUCAAAGGAUUACUAUGUAAAUAUGUGCAUAAAAUGUAAGGAAGUUAACUUUUAAAAGGGACAGACACUUUGGUUUUUAGAAACAUUUUUAUUUGUAAUGUUGUUUCCAGCUGUGAUAAAUAAAGGUCUGAACUGCAGUGGGAAAUGGA
This is a long non-coding RNA of Oxyura jamaicensis (ruddy duck), 4568 nucleotides long. RefSeq lists it as uncharacterized. The transcript has 4 exons. NCBI's taxonomy places the organism in Eukaryota, Metazoa, Chordata, Aves, Anseriformes, Anatidae. The record is from RefSeq and is a predicted model, not a curated record.